This 491-nucleotide ribosomal RNA is filed under the name uncultured bacterium. RNAcentral describes it as "partial 16S ribosomal RNA". It matches the Rfam family "Bacterial small subunit ribosomal RNA", at positions 29 to 506 of the family's 1533-position model. The record is from RNAcentral.
AGUGAACGCUGGCGGUAGGCCUAACACAUGCAAGUCGAACGGCAGCACAGUAAGAGCUUGCUCUUACGGGUGGCGAGUGGCGGACGGGUGAGGAAUACAUCGGAAUCUACUUUUUCGUGGGGGAUAACGUAGGGAAACUUACGCUAAUGCCGCAUACGACCUACGGGUGAAAGCAGGGGAUCUUCGGACCUUGCGCGAUUGAAUGAGCCGAUGUCGGAUUAGCUAGUUGGCGGGGUAAAGGCCCACCAAGGCGACGAUCCGUAGCUGGUCUGAGAGGAUGAUCAGCCACACUGGAACUGAGAAACGGUCCAGACUCUUACGGGAGGCAGCAGUGGGGAAUAUUGGACAAUGGGCGAAAGCCUGAUCCAGCCAUACCGCGUGGGUGAAGAAGGCCUUCGGGUUGUAAAGCCCUUUUGUUGGGAAAGAAAAGAAGCAGGUUAAUACCCCGCUGUUCUGACGGUACCAAAAGAAUAAGCACCGGCUAACUUCGU